GGCAGCAGUGGGGAAUCUUCGGCAAUGGGCGAAAGCCUGACCGAGCAAUGCCGCGUGAAUGAUGAAGGCCCUCGGGUUGUAAAAUUCUGUUAUAAGGGAAGAACGACUUUAGUAGGAAAUGGCUAGAGUGUGACGGUACCUUAUGAGAAAGCCACGGCUAACUACGUGCCAGCAGCCGCGGUAAUACGUAGGUGGCGAGCGUUAUCCGGAAUUAUUGGGCGUAAAGAGCGCGCAGGUGGUUGAUUAAGUCUGAUGUGAAAGCCCACGGCUUAACCGUGGAGGGUCAUUGGAAACUGGUCGACUUGAGUGCAGAAGAGGGAAGUGGAAUUCCAUGUGUAGCGGUGAAAUGCGUAGAGAUAUGGAGGAACACCAGUGGCGAAGGCGGCUUCCUGGUCUGUAACUGACACUGAGGCGCGAAAGCGUGGGGAGCAAACAGGAUUAGAUACCCUGGUAGUCC
This 457-nucleotide ribosomal RNA is filed under the name uncultured Bacillota bacterium. RNAcentral describes it as "bacterial SSU rRNA". It matches the Rfam family "Bacterial small subunit ribosomal RNA", at positions 347 to 796 of the family's 1533-position model. The record is from RNAcentral. Lineage: Bacteria; Bacillati; Bacillota.